Molecule: non-coding RNA, 1534 nt
Organism: Xiphophorus hellerii (green swordtail)
Lineage: Eukaryota; Metazoa; Chordata; Actinopteri; Cyprinodontiformes; Poeciliidae
Source: the annotation of a RefSeq genome assembly
GGCGGAGGAGGAAGAGGAGGAGCUGAUUUGUUCCUGAACUCAAGACUCAAACUUUCAGUUCAGUUCAGUUCAGUUCAGUUCAACUCUCCAACAUUAACUCUGCUCAUCAUGGACUAUUAUGGUCUGUCUCUGCUCAUCAUCUCUCUGCUAACAGGUGUUGAGUCUCAACAACUAUCUCCUCUGAUGGCAGAAAACUUCAUUUCAGAGGGCGGCUCCGUUUCUCUGACCUACACAUUUUCUAAAGAAGCAACUGGAAGCGAUGAGUUCUACUGGUAUCGCCAACAUCCAGGAAAACCUCCAGAGUUCCUGCUCUACCACCUAGGAUCAGGAAAAAUACUGUCGGAGCAAACUGCUGGACGGGAGAUCGAUGUGAAGGGAAGAGACAUAAAGCUGCUGAUCUCCUCUGCUGCAGUGACAGACUCUGCUGUGUACUACUGCGCUGUGAGGCCCACAGUGACAGGAAACACCAGAACUCUGUACAAAAACCUGCAGUACUCCACAGCAGCCACUAGAGGCCCUCACUCCCUGCUCUUCAACGGUUUGUCAAGAUUCAGACUGAUGUGAUCAAACCUGAACAAGAAAUACAAGUAAUAAAAAACUAGUAACAGGGACGGUGGGUUAAACCUACUGCUGCUCUGUGGCGCUCAGAGAACAGGAAGAACCCAGAACAGUUAAAUAAUUGUGAUUAAUUCACAAACAUCCUGAAGCCCCAACCAGAUUUUUUAAACUAAUUUGACAGCGCUAAUUAUUAAUGUUGCUGGGUUUUUUUUGUAUUAAUAUUUGUUUGGUGGUUUUUACUCUGGACAUUUAGUUCUGAUACACUGAGCAGCCUUUCUCCGCUCUGCUCAGCCGUUCAGAUCCACUAGAGGGCAGCGUUACCAGGUUCUGAGCUCUGCUGUGGUUCUGUGUUCAAGCACUCUGUCACUCCACAGACCAGGUCCCAUCAGGUGUUCUUGUCUCCCAGGCAGAACAAAUGAGAAACGUUUAUCCGGUUGUUGAACAGCUGCAGCGUUCCCUCCAGAUCCCGGUCUGAAUCAUUCUGUCUGGUUCUAGCAUGACACAGUCUGAGUUUGGACUGGUUUUAAUGGGACGGCCCGUCACCAGGCUCAGUGAGGGGAGGAGCUCCACUCUGACAGACUUUGUGUUGGAGCUGAAGAGCUGCUGCGUUCUCUCUGUUCUUCUGUCAGUACCAGGGAAAACAAUGCAGCUGCUGCUUUUCUCCUGCAUGAUGAUGAUCUUCUGCCUUCAGCCAGGAUCCUCUGAGGAUUUACUGACACCAUUUAAAGACGAUCAACUGGAUUUGGAAGGAAACGACGUGACUCUGUCCUGCAACUAUUCAGGAACAGUAAACCUGCUGCUGUGGUAUCGACAGACGCCCAGUUCAUCUCCACAGCUGGUCACCUCAGGAUAUUCAGACACAACAGGAAGGCUUUCUUUGAGACACGAGAAAACAAGAAAGACGUUUCAUCUGCUGAUCUCCUCUGCUGCAGUGACAGACUCUGCUGUGUACUACUGCGCUGUGGAGCCCACAGUG